UGAUGUGUGGCUCAGUGGUGGAGCACUUGCCUUGCAUGCACAGGGCUUUGGGUUCCAUCCCCAGUACCUUGA
RNAcentral lists this transfer RNA (72 nucleotides) under Fukomys damarensis (Damara mole-rat). It matches the Rfam family "tRNA". Rfam says of the family: Transfer RNA (tRNA) molecules are approximately 80 nucleotides in length. Lineage: Eukaryota; Metazoa; Chordata; Mammalia; Rodentia; Bathyergidae. The record is from Rfam by way of RNAcentral.